GGCAUAACCCCGGGAAACUGGGGAUAAUCCCGGAUAACGCACAUAUGCUGNAAUGCUUUAUGCGUAAAAUGGAUUCGUCUGCCCAAGGAUGGGUCUGCGGCCUAUCAGGUAGUAGUGGGUGUAAUGUACCUACUAGCCAACAACGGGUACGGGUUGUGAGAGCAAGAGCCCGGAGAUGGAUUCUGAGACAUGAAUCCAGGCCCUACGGGGCGCAGCAGGCGCGAAAACUUUACAAUGCGGGAAACCGUGAUAAGGGGACACCGAGUGCCAGCAUCAUAUGCUGGCUGUCCAGGUGUGUAAACUACACCUGUUAGCAAGGGCCGGGCAAGACCGGUGCCAGCCGCCGCGGUAACACCGGCGGCCCGAGUGGUGAUCGUGAUUAUUGGGUCUAAAGGGUCCGUAGCCGGUUUGGUCAGUCCUCCGGGAAAUCUGAUAGCUCAACUAUUAGGCUUUCGGGGGAUACUGCCAGGCUUGGAACCGGGAGAGGUAAGAGGUACUACAGGGGUAGGAGUGAAAUCUUGUAAUCCCUGUGGGACCACCUGUGGCGAAGGCGUCUUACCAGAACGGGUUCGACGGUGAGGGACGAAAGCUGGGGGCACGAACCGGAUUAGAUACCCGGGUAGUCCCAGCCGUAAACGAUGCUCGCUAGGUGUCAGGCAUGGCGCGACCGUGUCUGGUGCCGCAGGGAAGCCGUGAAGCGAGCCACCUGGGAAGUACGGCCGCAAGGCUGAAACUUAAAGGAAUUGGCGGGGGAGCACAA
Molecule: ribosomal RNA, 760 nt
Filed under: uncultured Methanosarcinaceae archaeon
Lineage: Archaea; Methanobacteriati; Methanobacteriota; Methanomicrobia; Methanosarcinales; Methanosarcinaceae
Description: SSU rRNA
Rfam family: Archaeal small subunit ribosomal RNA
Source: RNAcentral